ACAGAGGGUGCAAGCGUUGUUCGGAAUUAUUGGGCGUAAAGGGCGCGUAGGCGGUUCGGCAAGUCUCUAGUGAAAUCUCUGGGCUCAACUCAGAGUCUGCUGGGGAAACUGCCGGGCUUGAGUGUGGGAGAGGAGAGUGGAAUUCCCGGUGUAGCGGUGAAAUGCGUAGAUAUCGGGAGGAACAUCCGUGGCGAAGGCGGCCACCUGGGCCAACACUGACACUGAGGCACGAAAGCGUGGGGAGCAAACAGGA
This 253-nucleotide ribosomal RNA is filed under the name uncultured prokaryote. Its description in RNAcentral is "partial 16S ribosomal RNA". It matches the Rfam family "Bacterial small subunit ribosomal RNA", at positions 525 to 777 of the family's 1533-position model. The record is from RNAcentral.